UAGUUUAUGAAACAGGUCGUCAAUAAUCGUUUUGUCUCUUUUUUACUAGUACAAAAUUUCAUUUGGUAAAAGAGAUAAAUAUAUAUUUGUUAUUUCUAGUUAUGGCAACAUUUUGUGAUGACGUCACAACAGCUGUAGGUACGUGCCAUUUUUCGCCAUUUUAUGCGCUGUGUUUUGUGGUACUUCUGCUGUCAAGUAGCUGUUUAUGAGAUCGUAUUUUGUGUUUUGCCGAUAAAUUACGAGGAUUUGAUUUGCUAAAUCGAAGUUGAAGUUGAAAAAAGUGUUAUUCAACAUGUCCGUGUAUUGUAUUGUACAGUGUGGUGCCAGAAAGGACAGAAAUCAACCGUAUUUGUCACUUCAUAGGCCAUCUUUCAAUCCAAAAUUGUCGACUGGAUUUACUGAAACAGGUGAUAUUGGAAAACUAAUCCACAGCUGCAACGUCGUCUGUGCUGCCAUUGCCCGUACGUCUGUCUCAUAAGUCAGUACAUGAAAAGUCUGUUCAAGAAGACGAAAUGAAAAAAUUAAAAGAU
Pectinophora gossypiella (pink bollworm) is the source of this 530-nucleotide long non-coding RNA. RefSeq lists it as uncharacterized. The record is from RefSeq and is a predicted model, not a curated record. Lineage: Eukaryota; Metazoa; Arthropoda; Insecta; Lepidoptera; Gelechiidae. The transcript is spliced from 3 exons.